AUUGAACGCUAGCGGCAUGCCUUACACAUGCAAGUCGAACGGCAGCACGGGAGCAAUCCUGGUGGCGAGUGGCGAACGGGUGAGUAAUAUAUCGGAACGUGCCCAGUCGUGGGGGAUAACGUAGCGAAAGCUACGCUAAUACCGCAUACGAUCUAUGGAUGAAAGCGGGGGAUCGCAAGACCUCGCGCGAUUGGAGCGGCCGAUAUCAGAUUAGGUAGUUGGUGAGGUAAAGGCUCACCAAGCCGGCGAUCUGUAGCUGGGCUGAGAGGACGACCAGCAAGACUGGGACUGAGACAGGGCCCAGGCUCCUACGGGAGGGAGCAGUGGGGAAGUUUGGACAAUGGGCGCAAGCCUGAUCCAGCAAUGCCGCGUGCAGGAUGAAGGCCUUCGGGUUGUAAACUGCUUUUGUACGGAACGAAACGGCGAGCUCUAAUACAGCUUGCUAAUGACGGUACCGUAAGAAUAAGCACCGGCUAACUACGUGCCAGCCGCCGCAGUAA
Molecule: ribosomal RNA, 500 nt
Filed under: uncultured bacterium
Lineage: Bacteria
Description: partial 16S ribosomal RNA
Rfam family: Bacterial small subunit ribosomal RNA
Source: RNAcentral